RNAcentral lists this long non-coding RNA (1438 nucleotides) under Zostera marina. RNAcentral describes it as "long non-coding RNA (ZMAR_LNC005427)". Lineage: Eukaryota; Viridiplantae; Streptophyta; Magnoliopsida; Alismatales; Zosteraceae. The record is from RNAcentral.
CUAACAACAUUGUUUAAGAUCUAAUCAAAUGAUUGAAAACUCCGAGGUGCCUCAUCCCGUCCUCGCGUCCCGUUACGUCUACUUUCACCCUACCAAAUCAGAAUUAAAAAUAUGGAUGAGUCACUAUAUCAUGACUCAGCAUGGUUUCCACUACAUAUCAGUCAGACCGCAUGGUAAAGCAAUUAAAAUCAUAAUACUUAUUCAUUAUAUAUAUAACAUUCACACUUCACAUAUAAUUUUGACAUCCGAUAACACUCACACUGCAAUUGUCAUUUGGUUCAUACCAACACUCCCAUCACACACUCACUAAUACUUCGCUUAUAUAUCCAUCACAAGAUUUCACAUAUAAAUUCACAAACCAAUUAAAUCGUGAAGAUAAAUAUAAACUCAUCUGGUAAAUAAGAUAGGUGAGAAAAUCUGUAAAUAACAGUGAAUACAUCCAACUCAAGAGUAAAAAUCCAUAGUGGAAAUAAAAUUCUAAAUUCGUGUAACUCAAUCUAAAAAUUCUAAAUGUCAGGUAAAACUCUGAAAGAAAGAGUAUGAAUUCUGAAAAUCAUAGUACAUAACCGAGAUAAACAAAAAAAAACGAAUCAAAUGACAUGUGUCUCAAGAACCAUGGGAUCAUAAAACUCUAACAAUCAUGUAAAUCAAGUCUGAAAAUUCUAAAUGUUGGAUAAAACUCGUAAAGAAAGAGUUUGAAUUCUGAAAAUUAAGUUAAAUGAUGUGUCUAAAUAAAUAUAAAAUCCAUUGUCUAAUUUCACCCUAAUAAAAUAAAUCUCAACUCUACCGCCAGCAUAACUCUGUUUAAAAUACUACACUAUAAAACAGAAUAUAGCUCAGUAAAAAAAACCAUUCACGGAAGUUCAGAUCAACCCCAAUUCACCCCUCUAAAUAUCACUUAAUACCCAUGGUAUUUAUCCAAGAUAUCAACCCAAUACAAACUAAUCUGUAUAUGGUGAGGCAUCCGAUACAAUCUAUAACACAUUUUAUUAAAAAACACUUGCACUAUCUAUUAAACAAACACAUCAGGAUUCCCUUAUCUCCCAAAUCCACCAAAUAAAUCAAUAGAACCCAAACAGUAAUCACACAAUCUGUAAAUUAAUUAUCUCAUGGACAUACCCAAUCCGCAACUAUUGUGCAACAUUUCAGCAACCCAAUCAAAGCUACCAUGCAUUUCUAAUCAAAUGUUACCCAUAGUAUACACUACCGAUGCAUUUAGAUGACCACUCACCACUCAAUCCCAUACCUCGUUUUGUUUUUGAGACCUUUCCCUACACAAUCUGCACCAAGCUUUCCAACCACCUCGACAUCUCCUCGCUCGUUUCCCGGAUGGUCCUUCGCCGGAGCUUCGUCUCCGUCCCCACCCUAGUCUUGCCGGAAUAUUGCCCUUCUUCCUCCACUCACGUUUCCCCCCACCUUCCCUCUUUCCAUCCUUUGU